GACGAACGCUGGCGGCGUGCUUAACACAUGCAAGUCGAACGGUGAACCUCUUCGGAGGGGAUCAGUGGCGAACGGGUGAGUAACACGUGGGCAACCUGCCCCCGGCUCUGGGAUAACUCCAAGAAAUUGGGGCUAAUACCGGAUGUUCACCGCUUCCCGCAUGGGUGGUGGUGGAAAGGGUUUCCGGCUGGGGAUGGGCCCGCGGCCUAUCAGCUUGUUGGUGGGGUAGUGGCCUACCAAGGCGACGACGGGUAGCCGGCCUGAGAGGGUGACCGGCCACACUGGGACUGAGACACGGCCCAGACUCCUACGGGAGGCAGCAGUGGGGAAUAUCGCGCAAUGGGCGGAAGCCUGACGCAGCGACGCCGCGUGGGGGAUGACGGCCUUCGGGUUGUAAACCUCUUUCAGCAGGGACGAAGCGCAAGUGACGGUACCUGCAGAAGAAGCACCGGCCAACUACGU
RNAcentral lists this ribosomal RNA (462 nucleotides) under uncultured bacterium. RNAcentral's name for it is "partial 16S ribosomal RNA". It matches the Rfam family "Bacterial small subunit ribosomal RNA", at positions 28 to 506 of the family's 1533-position model. The record is from RNAcentral.